GUGAGCAUUGCAGCUAAUGCCAUGGCAGAGGAUGACUCCCAGCCUUCCCUUUGGUCAAAGACUCAGAUAGAUGACGCUACUGGUCCAAACAACACUCCUCAACAGAACCAUCAAUAGUUGAGACACUUCCUCCUACUGAAAGGAAUGAGAUGCUUCCACCACCAUCCAAGAGAUACAAACCAUCACUAUUAGAUCAUGUGACACCUUCAGGGGUCAGUGCUGUGAGGCCCUUCUCAAAAGGUAAAGUGUUCCAGAGGAAGAAAACAUCCUGGCAGCAGACAGAGGUACAGGCAGUGGAAAGGCACAUCGAUUCAUCAUAUCUGGUAUUGUACCAGCAAAGAAUGAUUGUAAGAAAUGCUUAAGGGCUAAACCAGAAGCUCCAGAACCAGGACUGACAGAAUCUGUAAUUCUACGUUUAUAACCACAUUACGGCCUAAAAAGGGGAACUGCAAUGUAAAUACUGUAGGGUGAAGUUAAUCAAUUCUGUAGUAUGGCAGGUUCUGUGGUUAAAGUUUUAAGUUUGUACUAAUUUUAUUAUAUUUGAGUUCUUUUGUGCAGUUGAACUCAAUUAAAAGCUUUUGCAAUUAAAAUGCAAGUUUAUUGUCUUGAAAUUCAAGCAAUAGUUGUUUUAUUAUAUUGCUAAUGUGGUGGAAUUCCCUUUACCACCAAAGGUCAAGUCUUCUAUACACCCAACAAUUACUUAAUAAAUAAAUUUUGUGUUCAGUAAUGGGGCCUCCACCAUUAUCUCUUCAAAGUUUACAUUGCAUCACUAGCACCAUUUGCAGGCUUCAUGCUACAUCUCUACAUCACUUUUUAGGGCAUUUCAAUUAUGACAUAUCAAAAUUAUUUUUCUCUACAGACAUAUCAAUUAGGCUAUUUAACACGAUUACUCAUUGACAUUGGAAACAUCAUGCAUUUACUGAACUUAAAAAAAACAAAAAACUAAUCACGUCUGUGC
Molecule: long non-coding RNA, 958 nt
Organism: Clarias gariepinus (North African catfish)
Lineage: Eukaryota; Metazoa; Chordata; Actinopteri; Siluriformes; Clariidae
Exons: 3
Source: RefSeq, a predicted model, not a curated record